GGCUGGCGACAGGAAUUAAUGGAAACCAUAAAUUACUUCUUGUCUGAGGCGAUUCGUCACUUUGCAGUCCAUCUGGUAGACGAAAUUCCUCAGCGGUGCAGUGUGUCAAGGGAUGAGAAUGUCUUUGUUCUGGGUAGAGCUGCAGCACCAUAACCACUUCAAAGCAGGUUCAUGAGGGUCACACAAUUCACAGCACAAAGCAUUGGCCUGACCUGCAGAGCGCGAUCCACUGGAGAGCCACGGAGCUGCAGGAAAGCCUUUGAUCUCUGUGUGUGCCUGCCAGUUGGCCACUGCUGUCAGAAAUGCCUCUGUUGUUCAUGGGGAAUGGGAAUGUGAUAAAGAAGAUUUCAGAGCGUGCCGUAUGCAAAGUCUCUGCUUUCUCCUGCCUCCAGAAACCUAUGUGGCUCCAGAGCCAGCUGUAUGGCAAAACUUUUUCUGUAGCCACCUCAUUCCCCCAGACAUCAUACUCCUCCAUAUACCACAUGAAGAAAUAAGUAAAACCAAGUCCAAAGACCUUCAGUCAAGUUGUAUUAAAUCUUUUGCAACCACAAAACAUUUCCUCUGCCUGCAUGAACCAUAAGGAGACACCCAUAAUUUAUACAGCCGUGCUGGUGCCAUAAGUUGCUUCAGCCGCCAGCAGUGACAGUGGUGGCCAUGUCCUCCCAGUAUUGCCCAGGAUGGAGGCCAGCUUGCAAGAACGGCUGCCGUGCAAUCAACCUGCAGCAAGAAAAUUAUGGGAAGGGCUGGAGCCUGAAUGCACGAGAAGGGCGUCAAAGGGACUGGCUCCCCGCUCUGCAUGCCUGUGGGCAGCUGAUGGGCCAGUGAGCUGGUUUGGGUAAGCGUCAUUGGUAUCUCUGUCGAGGGCAGGAGAGAGAAUAAGGUAAGGGGCAUGAAAGGAGGAGGAGAGGGUUGGUUUGGAGGAAAUGAGA
This is a long non-coding RNA of Grus americana (Whooping crane), 929 nucleotides long. RefSeq lists it as uncharacterized. The record is from RefSeq and is a predicted model, not a curated record. NCBI's taxonomy places the organism in Eukaryota, Metazoa, Chordata, Aves, Gruiformes, Gruidae. The transcript has 3 exons.